Molecule: long non-coding RNA, 668 nt
Organism: Papaver somniferum (opium poppy)
Lineage: Eukaryota; Viridiplantae; Streptophyta; Magnoliopsida; Ranunculales; Papaveraceae
Exons: 3
Source: RefSeq, a predicted model, not a curated record
GAGGAAUUUAUGGACCGUGGCCACCCUCUUUUACAAAACUGCCCUCACUGCUUUCUCCCAUCGCAAAUAUACAACAAAGGGUACAAUCGUAACCUUACUUCGCAAUAGAAAACCAGUUUCGUUUCUCUUUCAUCUUCUGUCUCGAACUUCUCUCUUUUCGUUUGAAACACCUCCUCCAUUAAAGAGAUGUCUGAAACACCUCGACCUCCACCGAAGGCUACGGAAAAUUGAAGGCUUAACAUAAGAUUCAAUCCAGAAACCAUUGCGAUUGCUGUCUGUUUCUCAUUCUAUUGAAAUAUAAGACUUUAGCAUCACAGGUCACCUUUGCUCUUAGCAAGUUACCUUUGCGGGAGAAAUCAAAUCUUUUGCAUCCGAAGAUGAAUAUGCAGUGCAGAGGAUGCCUCUUAUUUUGAAUUUAUGAUUCGAGUCGUUGAUGUGGAUGAACCUGGGGUGGGCAAGGAAGUUUUUUUUUAUCUUUGUAAAUAUAGUAUUAAGUGCAUAUAAAAAUAUACAUUUUAUAUAAACAUGCACUAUUCAUUAAAAUAUUAUUAAAAGAAGAGGUUGAUUUUUUUGGAAUGGAAAUGGCAGGCGCAUCAGGCGUACAUGUUAUACUAGUUGGAGAUAGAGUUAGCUAUGUGUUUAUUUUACAACUUUCAAGGCAGAGAUUC